Molecule: ribosomal RNA, 432 nt
Filed under: uncultured bacterium
Lineage: Bacteria
Description: partial 16S ribosomal RNA
Rfam family: Bacterial small subunit ribosomal RNA
Source: RNAcentral
AGCGAACGCUGGCGGCAGGCCUAACACAUGCAAGUCGAACGGAUCCUUCGGGAUUAGUGGCGGACGGGUGAGUAACACGUGGGAACGUGCCCUUUGGUUCGGAACAACUCAGGGAAACUUGAGCUAAUACCGGAUGUGCCCUUCGGGGGAAAGAUUUAUCGCCAUUGGAGCGGCCCGCGUCUGAUUAGCUAGUUGGUGAGGUAACGGCCCACCAAGGCGACGAUCAGUAGCUGGUCUGAGAGGAUGAUCAGCCACACUGGGACUGAGACACGGCCCAGACUCCUACGGGAGGCAGCAGUGGGGAAUCUUGCGCAAUGGGCGAAAGCCUGACGCAGCCAUGCCGCGGGAAUGAUGAAGGUCUUAGGAUUGUAAAAUUCUUUCAGCGGGGACGAUAAUGACGGGACCCGCAGAAGAAGCUCCGGCUAACUUCGU